Long non-coding RNA from Doryrhamphus excisus (bluestripe pipefish), 1896 nucleotides. RefSeq lists it as uncharacterized. NCBI's taxonomy places the organism in Eukaryota, Metazoa, Chordata, Actinopteri, Syngnathiformes, Syngnathidae. The record is from RefSeq and is a predicted model, not a curated record.
UGUGUGCAUGCACGUGGACGUGUGCACGCAUGUGCAAUGAGACUGCUUGCGUGUUUAAUGAGAUGUGCUCGUGCUGGAAGAGGAGAGCUCGUGCUUAUUGGUUUGCAUGUAUGCAUGAGCUGACACGCAUGGGCGUGCAUGCGAAUGUGCACGUCAUUCCCUUUUAGAAUGCACGUGAACGCGUGCGUGUGCGUGUGUGGUAAAACAGCCGGUUUCCAUUACGGGGCGGCACGGUUCCCCGGGCCCGACCGCAAACCUCCAGUCUCCAGUGUAGCUCCACCCAGCGCUGCCACAGACUUCCCAGAAAGGAGCAGCGUCUAAUUAAAAGAAAGUUUAAUUACAUUCAUCUCACACACAUACAGUGGAUAUGGAUAUUUAUACAGGCACAAACAACGGCAUACAACAUCACGUGCACGCAUCGUCUCCGGACUUCCUGUAGGAUCGUCACGUGCCACAGGUUGACUUCGCUCCUCUUUGCGCCCUGACGCUCGUCUUGCAGGCAACCGGUGACCCGUUGUGAAGCCUCGAUGAAGCGUCCUCUCAGGAAAAGAUCAUCUGGUUCCUCUUGGCCCUGCGGUCGCAACACUGAGAGCCACAUCAAAGCUUCCUGGAGACGACCAAGAAGAAGAAAAUCUGGGACAAAUUCUGAAAGCUUGAUAUCCUUGGAUUCCCAAAAUGGUCUAUUUUAAUUCCUUCCACACAAGGCCCGCCUCCGAGCACGCUCCAUCCCCUGUGAUUGGUCACGCUCCCGAGCGCUCCCAAGUACUUCUGGACUACUGCUGAACCCCACUUCCUCAUUUAGUGGCUACGGGAGUCCAUCAUUAAUAGCAACUCCAAGUCAAGUCUUUGGAGAGCUACUGGGAGCUACUGGGAGCUACUGGGAGCUACUAGGGGCUACUGGGAGCUACUGGGAGCUACUGCAUUGCUGCUAAUGCUAUCCAAUGCUAACUAGCAGCUCCUCAGCCAAAUGUUAUCUUGCAUGAAGUGAUGAAGCAGAUGAAAAGCAAGUGAAUAAAAAGUCGGAUAUGGACGGGUCCUUGCAUCCCUUCGUUCCCCGGAUGCACCCUGACUAAACCUGCUGUUGGCGUCCAUCAGGUGGAUGAUGGACUUCCCAUGGCUUCGACAUGCUUGUCCUCCUGCGUGCCGGGCGUGUUCUGCAGGACUCGCGUGCCUUUUCGGUGCCUUUUCGGCGCUGCAGCAACAGCAGCUAACAUGGAAGGACCGGCUGCCACGAAAACCACAAGAAUCCCGACUGUGUCGCCUGCAGUCACGGACCUUUUCCAGAUGGGAGCGUUGGAGAGAUGUGCUGAGUCAUGGAUUUCUGGGAGUGCUGCUACGUUGGUUCGUUUGCUUUUGGGAACAGAUGUUGCUGCUUCCGAGGGGGAGUGGCUAGUCAUGACCCGGGAACCCUCUGAUGACACAAACGUCCACAGGGAGCCCUAAGAAGAUCAGAAAACACAAAACACAAACCCUCAUCUCCUCCAGUCGUGAGCAGCAUGGAUUUAAUCAGGAAUAGAGAGCUGGUGUAGAAUGUUUGGGAGCAAUAACAGCCAGGGAAUACUAGGAAUACUAGUAGCGUGGCAGGGAUGACAUUCCUGCACAAAGACGGGGCGCCGAUGCCAUGGCAACGCAGGGGUCAACACACAAGAACAAGACUCCGGUCUCACUUCCCUGCUCCCAGCCACUCCCCUCAUGAGAGCCCCUUCCGGCCUCCUUACAAAUCCCAUCACCGUGUCUGUCCACUUCCUGCUCGCCCGCUUCCGAGGAAGGCCGGAGUCGGUGUGCUGGAGCAUGGAUCCUGGAUUAGAGGAGAAAAUGCAAAGAGGAUGGAGGUAGUCGGCUGCUUUGAUGCUCCAAAGAAUAUAAAUCAUACACAUGAAAGAGAGCAGCAUUCUA